This 160-nucleotide ribosomal RNA is filed under the name Chaetothyriales sp. RNAcentral describes it as "partial large subunit ribosomal RNA". It matches the Rfam family "Eukaryotic large subunit ribosomal RNA", at positions 99 to 261 of the family's 3401-position model. The record is from RNAcentral. Lineage: Eukaryota; Fungi; Ascomycota; Eurotiomycetes; Chaetothyriales.
CGGCAAGAGCUCAAAUUUGAAAUCUGGCGCAAGCCCGAGUUGUAAUUUGUAGAGGAUGUUUCGGCCACGGCUGCGGUUUAAAUUCCUUGGAACAGUAUGUCAAAGAGGGUGAGAACCCCGUCUGGAACCUCAAGCCGUGUCCAUGUGAAACUCCUUCGAC